GCUCAAUGAUAGAAGCCCUACAGCUAAGCUUGCUCUGUACUUUUCCAGAACAGCUUUCAGCACUGUGGAGAUGAUGGCUUGAGCUGGGAAAGGAUAGCCAUGACUGAUGCUUUGAACUCCUAGGGCCCAGCAGCUCAUUUUUAGGACACACAUGCUCCUUGGAUUCAUAGGAGCGAGAGGAGCCCAUGGAGUAUGGCUCUUUGCCUUGGCUGGUUGAAGAGAUCCACAUGCGUCUCUGUCUACUUUUGUGGCUGUCUCCCUGCUCUGUUGCUCGCCUGAGGCACCUUCCGCAGAUGAAUGGGCAUUGUUUAUUAUUCCACUAAUUUCUUGGUGGGCACGUCACUUCACCUUGGCUCCAGUUUCCCAAAAGCCACUGAACAAGUGUCUAGAAUCCAUGCAGCGUUCAGAUGACCUGUGUCCCCCUCUUUUCUUUCCUCUCCUCAACCCUUGCCAGA
Molecule: long non-coding RNA, 455 nt
Organism: Chelonia mydas (Green sea turtle)
Lineage: Eukaryota; Metazoa; Chordata; Testudines; Cheloniidae
Exons: 3
Source: RefSeq, a predicted model, not a curated record